AUUGAACGCUGGCGGCAGGCCUAACACAUGCAAGUCGAGCGGAUGAAGGGAGCUUGCUCCUGGAUUCAGCGGCGGACGGGUGAGUAAUGCCUAGGAAUCUGCCUGGUAGUGGGGGAUAACGUCCGGAAACGGGCGCUAAUACCGCAUACGUCCUGAGGGAGAAAGUGGGGGAUCUUCGGACCUCACGCUAUCAGAUGAGCCUAGGUCGGAUUAGCUAGUUGGUGGGGUAAAGGCCUACCAAGGCGACGAUCCGUAACUGGUCUGAGAGGAUGAUCAGUCACACUGGAACUGAGAAACGGCCCAGACUCCUACGGGAGGCAGCAGUGGGGAAUAUUGGACAAUGGGCGAAAGCCUGAUCCAGCCAUGCCGCGUGUGUGAAGAAGGUCUUCGGAUUGUAAAGCACUUUAAGUUGGGAGGAAGGGCAGUAAGUUAAUACCUUGCUGUUUUGACGUUACCAACAGAAUAAGCACCGGCUAACUUCGUG
Molecule: ribosomal RNA, 484 nt
Filed under: uncultured bacterium
Lineage: Bacteria
Description: partial 16S ribosomal RNA
Rfam family: Bacterial small subunit ribosomal RNA
Source: RNAcentral